Cicer arietinum (chickpea) is the source of this 849-nucleotide non-coding RNA. The record is from RefSeq and is a predicted model, not a curated record. Lineage: Eukaryota; Viridiplantae; Streptophyta; Magnoliopsida; Fabales; Fabaceae.
UUGUCAAAAAUAAAAUAUAAAAUGAACCCUUUGUCGAAAAGAACCCGCAAAGCAUUUGAUAAAACGGUGCGUUUUGGCAACUAUUGGUUUCAUCUUAGUUCUGCUCUAGAUUAGCAUUGCCAUCGGUCGCGUUCCCUGAUUCCCCGUCCACGUCCACGUCGACACCGGCAUCGGCACCGGAAAACUAUCAACCGUUCCGUUCUUGUCCUCUCCGUAAUAAUCAGGGAAAUGGGUUUGUGGACAUUACUUGAGGGUUUCCUGCUUCUUGCAAAUGCUCUAGCUAUACUAAACGAGGACCGCUUUCUUGUGCCUAGAGGAUGGGGCUUAUCAGAUUUUUCCGGAGGCAGGACAAAAUCUUUCAAAGGCCAGAUUAUAGGUCUCAUUUAUGCAACUCAGUACCUAAGAGUUCCUCUCAUACUUCUUAAUUCCGUCUUCAUUAUUGUAAAGUUGGUUUCUGGGUGAUGCUUGGCAAGGAUCAUGCAUGUGCGGUUUAAGGAAUUCACAAGAUGUUUAGCACUAUUCCAGUCUCUUCCUGGUUGCAGGUGCUGAAGUUUUACAUCCCAUGAUUUCAAGUUGUUUUUAGAUAGGAAUAUUUGAGAAAUUCUAUUGUAAUUGUAAGAAUAUACAUCAAAAACAUCUCUUUUGAGAUCUUGAUCCAUUGAUAAUAUUAGGCACAAAAUUAUGCUUGCUACCACGACAUAUGUAGUCAGAAAUGGAGAUUAUUAUUGCGACUUUAGCUGGGUGGGUGCAGUAUUCAUUUUAUAAGAAUUAAUUAAAUGGGCCAAUUUCCUUGUAUUAUUCUCUACUUGUUGUCAAUUGCUUAAUGUUUGAUUGGUGAUGUGUUCCAAA